Molecule: ribosomal RNA, 774 nt
Filed under: Clostridium botulinum C
Lineage: Bacteria; Bacillati; Bacillota; Clostridia; Eubacteriales; Clostridiaceae
Description: partial 23S ribosomal RNA
Rfam family: Bacterial large subunit ribosomal RNA
Source: RNAcentral
CGGCGUACUUUUUGUAGAACGGGCCAGCGAGUUACGAUAUAUAGCAAGGUUAAGCACUUAUGGUGUGGAGCCGAAGGGAAACCGAGUCUGAUUAGGGCAACUAGUUGUAUAUUGUAGACCCGAAACCGGGUGACCUAUCCAUGGCCAGGAUGAAGCGGAAGUAAAAUUCCGUGGAGGUCCGAACCACGUUGGUGUUGAAAAACCAUGGGAUGAGCUGUGGAUAGCGGAGAAAUUCCAAUCGAACUCGGAGAUAGCUGGUUCUCCUCGAAAUAGCUUUAGGGCUAGCGUCGGGUAAUUGAGUAGUGGAGGUAGAGCACUGAAUGGGCUAGGGGCUGACAACAGUUACUGAACCCUAUCAAACUCCGAAUGCCAUAUACUUGUACCCCGGCAGUCAGACUACGAAUGAUAAGAUCCGUGGUCAAAAGGGAAACAGCCCAGACCAUCAGCUAAGGUCCCAAAGUGUAAGUUAAGUGGGAAAGGAUGUGGGAUUUCUAAGACAACUAGGAUGUUGGCUUAGAAGCAGCCACUCAUUUAAAGAGUGCGUAAUAGCUCACUAGUCGAGAGAUCCUGCGCCGAAGAUGUAACGGGGCUCAAACUUACCACCGAAGCUAUGGAUGUGUACUUUGUACACGUGGUAGAGGAGCUUUCUGUACAGGUUGAAGUCAUACCGUAAGGAGUGGUGGACAGUACAGAAGUGAGAAUGCUGGCAUAAGUAGCGAAAAACAAGUGAGAAUCUUGUUGACCGAAUAUCUAAGGUUUCCUGGGGAAGGCUCG